CCUACGUGAGGCAGCAGUGGGGAAUAUUGGGCAAUGGGCGCAAGCCUGACCCAGCGACGCCGCGUGAGGGAAGACGGUCUUCGGAUUGUAAACCUCUUUCAGCAGGGAAGACAAAAGGACGGUACCUGCAGAAGAAGCCACGGCUAACUACGUGCCAGCAGCCGCGGUAAUACGUAGGUGGCAAGCGUUAUCCGGAAUUACUGGGUGUAAAGGGUGUGUAGGCGGGUUUGCAAGUCAGAUGUGAAAAUUAUGGGCUCAACCCAUAACCUGCGUCUGAAACUACAGAUCUUGAGAGAAGUAGAGGCAGGCGGAAUUCCUAGUGUAGCGGUGAAAUGCGUAGAUAUUAGGAGGAACACCAGUGGCGAAGGCAUCUCACGAAUCCGCGAUUGACGCUGAUGCACGAAAGCGUGGGUAUCAAACAGGAUUAGAUACCCUAGUAGUC
Molecule: ribosomal RNA, 442 nt
Filed under: uncultured bacterium
Lineage: Bacteria
Description: partial 16S ribosomal RNA
Rfam family: Bacterial small subunit ribosomal RNA
Source: RNAcentral